CCGGCGUGCUAGGCAUAUCCU
Molecule: microRNA, 21 nt
Filed under: Panagrellus redivivus
Lineage: Eukaryota; Metazoa; Nematoda; Chromadorea; Rhabditida; Panagrolaimidae
Description: prd-miR-50-3p
Gene: prd-miR-50-3p
Source: miRBase by way of RNAcentral